CCCUUUUUCUUUUUAACAUGUCUUGAAUUAAUUACUACUUAAGAAAACUUAAACUCAACUCUUUCUCAAAUACUAACAGUAACAAAAUCUAGAAGAUUUACUUAAAUUCCAAAGAUAACACUAAAUUUCUCAAUAACAGGGAUUCAUUUUCUCAACAUAUUAGUGAAAGAAUAAAAAGCUAAAACAACAUGUAUCUAACAUGCACUGAUUUCUCUAUCAUCCACGCGUAUGAAUAGAAAUCCAAUCCAUCUAAGCUAUACCUUAGUUGAAAAAACAUUUUUCAUUACUCGCAGAGUUUAGGAAAAGCAAACACACCAUCCAUUCAAGUCCAACAUCAUGUUAAACUUUCAAGAGCAGAGAUUCACUUUCACAGUAUAUGAAUAGCAAUAGAAAAACUUCAGUAACAAGUAUAUUAUACAAUGCACUAUAGAAUGUUGAAGGGAUAGAAAAGCCAGAAGAAAUAACUUCAACUACAGCUUGGAUUCAAUUAGUUCUCCACCCAAAAUACAUGCUCAUAAUCAAAUUAUUGUACAUGGUAGGGAAUAUUACCUGGAUACAACAAAAACAAAACCAAAAAUUGUGCUUGGAGUCAGCUAAUAGCACUAGCAAACAGAAUUAGCUUUGAAAAAUCAAUAACACCAAUUAGAAAUCUACUCUUCCAAUCAGUAAAACCCAAAUGAACCACCAAUUGUAGAGUAUCGAAUAUCUAAUUAGCUAAGAGGUUCUAAGACAUAAUUAAACCAUUUUUUGAUCAAAGAAGUGCACGAAAUUUUCAAUAUUCUUUCAAAGUUUUCUAGAGCUCAGCCAUUUGCAAUUUUUCAGAAUUUUAUCUCUAAUUUUUAUACCCUGCUAAAGAAGAAAAGAUGCCUUUAUAGGCAAGUCUUAGGGCGGCAUAAAAGGGAUUCAGAUUUGCAUAUUAGUCCUUUCAAAAUUUUUAUUUUUGCUGUUCAAUCCCUAGCUUAAAAUUAGUAUUUUCAGUAAAGUCCUAAAGGUACCUUCUCAGAAGCUUCCCUAAUCAGUUAUAGACAUAUUCCCUAGCUAUAAUUCCUAAACUACCCCUUAGGAUCCAUGUUUUUACCCCCAGGAACUCAUGGGUCAUGGGUCAAAUUGAUCCAAUGGUUAAACCAAACAUGAGCUCAAUUUUGACCCAAUAACCUAUAUCAACCGCUUGGAGUGAGGUUUGAAAUGGCAUUAAAGCCCAAACAAAAAAAUAAAUCGAACCACAUUAGCAAUUUAUGACAAGCAGGAAGAAAACAUCUAAAUGAUUUCAAAACGACUAAAACUAAAACCUAAACUAAUGGACUAGUUAAUGCAGAAUAAACUAAGUUAUUAAAUCAAAUUAACAUAACUCAAUUAAACAAAAGGCGAAAUCAGAGGUUUAAAAUAUAACAUUAAUAAAACUAAACAGAUUACUGAAAAUCAAAGAACCAACUUUUAGAAUUUGAAAAAAAAAUAAAACUAAAGGGAACAAACGAACACCACUCAAAUCGACCAGAAACUUUGGUCGAGUUUCAGGUGAAUUAACCAAAGAGAAAGAGAAGACAUAAAUUGGAAUGAAAGUUGAAAUAAUACAAAGAUGAACAAAAUAACGAAGGAAUUCAUUGACCAAACUCGAACUCGAGACAAAUAUUCUGAUUUAACCCCCAAAUAAUGUCAAUUGCUUGUUCUCUGUCAAGAACAUGUAAACAACGUUAUUUUGUGAUAAAACCGACCUUGAAUAACCAAGAAAACUCGGAGAAAUAGCCUUGCAUGUAUGGAUUUGGUUUUGGGUUUUUAAGGCUUCAACUUCGAUUCAAGAUUCGAAAGGGAGUAGGGUGAUUCGAGUGAAAAGGGUUAGAGAUUUGGAGAGAGGGAACCAAGGGGAUUCCGUGGUGUUAAUUUGAGCCGGUUUAGGGGUGGCGCUAGGGUUAGACGAGUGGUCUCUGAAGACAGGGUGAACAACAGAUAUGAGACGCAGGGAGGGGGUAGGGGGCUUUUGGAC
This 1981-nucleotide long non-coding RNA is filed under the name Nicotiana benthamiana. RNAcentral describes it as "long non-coding RNA (NBEN_LNC010205)". Lineage: Eukaryota; Viridiplantae; Streptophyta; Magnoliopsida; Solanales; Solanaceae. The record is from RNAcentral.